This is a long non-coding RNA of Neodiprion fabricii, 321 nucleotides long. RefSeq lists it as uncharacterized. Lineage: Eukaryota; Metazoa; Arthropoda; Insecta; Hymenoptera; Diprionidae. The record is from RefSeq and is a predicted model, not a curated record. The transcript has 3 exons.
UAUCGAAUGCAGUCGGCGUAGAACUUGGGAACCACGAUUCUUCGAUCAGAAGGCUCGUGACACUUCGAGGAUCGACACGCCCGCCAUUGUGGAGGGGUUCUGCAAAUUGCAAUGAAAUUGGGUUCUUCAGUCCGUUGAUCGAGUAUUUUUGUCAUCGGCUACGUUUGCUUUACGUGCGGGUUACCCCAUGAGACUAGAUAUAUAAUAAAGAAGAUUGCAAUUUCUGAAUAGAAUGUUUGAUGCCAAGCCCGCAGCUUUUACAUUCUCUGCUGACAUUUUAUGGCGCUUUGAGCGAGAUUAAGGGCCGUGGUUGUUUCGUUC